This 296-nucleotide RNase P RNA is filed under the name Aerococcus suis. RNAcentral's name for it is "Bacterial RNase P class B". It matches the Rfam family "Bacterial RNase P class B", at positions 10 to 318 of the family's 365-position model. Rfam says of the family: Ribonuclease P (RNase P) is a ubiquitous endoribonuclease, found in archaea, bacteria and eukarya as well as chloroplasts and mitochondria. Its best characterised activity is the generation of mature 5'-ends of tRNAs by cleaving the 5'-leader elements of precursor-tRNAs. Cellular RNase Ps are ribonucleoproteins. The record is from RNAcentral. Lineage: Bacteria; Bacillati; Bacillota; Bacilli; Lactobacillales; Aerococcaceae.
AGGUAAUUGCGGAUAGUCCUUACUAUCUGAGGAAAGUCCAUGCUCACACAAACUGCGACGUUUGUAGUGUUCGUGUCUAGUGAAGUCAUAAGCUAGAGCUUAGACGGCAGUUAAAAAUGCUAAGGGUUUAAGCCUAUGCAUGAGUCAACUUGAAAGUGCCACAGAAACGAGUUAACUAUGAAAGUAGUUAAAUGGAACGCGGUAAACCCCACGAGUGAGCAACCCAAACUUUGGUCGGGGCAUUUGACAAUGGAAAAUGAACCAACGUCAAACUGUUAUACAGAGAUAGAUGAUUA